Molecule: long non-coding RNA, 657 nt
Filed under: Homo sapiens (human)
Lineage: Eukaryota; Metazoa; Chordata; Mammalia; Primates; Hominidae
Description: HSALNT0295752
Source: RNAcentral
GGAGAACAGGCCGGAAGGCGCCCAACGGGCCGCAGGCUCCGCGGCCCCCACCUUAUAGCCAGCUUUUUCCAAGAGCCACAUGCGGUGGGUGGGGUAAUGGAAUUCCGAAUUCCGCAGGGCCGAGAGGGUCCAAAUCCCGUCUCAGAUGGGAGUGCUCGGCGGAGCGGGGCUGGGCGAGGAGCGCAGAGGAGUCAGAGGAGCUCCAGCACCACCUCCAGCCUUCAGUGACUGUCUGGAGCAGGCAUCCGGAUGGAAGAGAAGGGGGACAACCAUGAACUUGGUGACCCACGGUCAGCCUGAUUUCCCUUGUGGACACAUUUAUGCCCAGUGUGCAUUCCUCCUGAGGUCUGUUCCAAGUCUGGAGGCAGCAGAGUAGAGUGGAGAGAACAGUGGACUUGGAAUCUCACCUCCCAGAUUAGAGUCCUGGAUCUGACUUUGAUUGCUGGUGCUGCCUCGGGCAAGUUACUUUAGCUGUGUGCAUCUCCAUUUCCCCAUGGAUAGAACAUGGGUUUUGGGUAGAAGUGUCUGAUAGCUGUACUGUGCUUUACGGUUCAUGAGCACGCACACAUAGGCCCAUAAUAUCAUAUCUCUGGUCACCCUGGCAGGUAGAUAUUAUUGCCCCAGGUUUCAGGUAAGAAGACUAAAGACCAGGGGUCA